RNAcentral lists this ribosomal RNA (612 nucleotides) under Ramaria pinicola. RNAcentral's name for it is "partial 25S large subunit ribosomal RNA". It matches the Rfam family "Eukaryotic large subunit ribosomal RNA", at positions 65 to 655 of the family's 3401-position model. The record is from RNAcentral. Lineage: Eukaryota; Fungi; Basidiomycota; Agaricomycetes; Gomphales; Gomphaceae.
CUAACAAGGAUUCCCCUAGUAACGGCGAGUGAAGCGGGAAGAGCUCAAAUUUGUAAUCUGGCGGUCUCAGGCCGUCCGAGUUGUAGUCUGGAGAAGCGUUUUCCGCGCCGGAUCGUGUACAAGUCCCUUGGAACAGGGCGUCAUAGAGGGUGAGAAUCCCGUCUUCGACACGAACUACCGGUGCUCUGUGAUGCGCUCUCAAAGAGUCGAGUUGUUUGGGAAUGCAGCUCAAAACGGGUGGUAAAUUCCAUCUAAAGCUAAAUAUUGGCGAAAGACCGAUAGCGAACAAGUACCGUGAGGGAAAGAUGAAAAGCACUUUGGAAAGAGAGUUAAACAGUACGUGAAAUUGUUGAAAGGGAAACGAUUGAAGUCAGUCGCGUCUUCCGGGACUCAGCCUUGCUUUUUGCCUGGCGCAUUUCCCGGGGUUGACGGGCCAGCAUCGAUUUCGGUCGACGGAAAAAGGCAGGGGGAAUGUGGCACCUUCGGGUGUGUUAUAGCCCCCUGUCGCAUGCGUCGACUGGGAUCGAGGAUCGCAGCACGCCUUUAAUGGCCGGGGUUCGCCCACGUAACGUGCUUAGGAUGCUGGCGUAAUGGCUUUAAACGACCCGUCUU